Molecule: ribosomal RNA, 466 nt
Filed under: uncultured bacterium
Lineage: Bacteria
Description: partial 16S ribosomal RNA
Rfam family: Bacterial small subunit ribosomal RNA
Source: RNAcentral
GAUGAACGCUGGCGGCGUGCUUAACACAUGCAAGUCGAACGGAAAGGCCCAAGCUUGCUUGGGUACUCGAGUGGCGAACGGGUGAGUAACACGUGGGUGAUCUGCCCUUCACUUCGGGAUAAGUCUGGGAAACUGGGGCUAAUACCGGAUAGGACCUCAUGCUGGAUGGUGUGGUGGAAAGAUUUUCGGUGUGGGAUGAGCUCGCGGCCUUUUAGCCUGUUGGUGGGGUAAUGGUCUAUUAAGGCGUCGACGGGUAGCCGGCCCGGGGGGGUGUACGGCCACAAUGGGACUGAGGGUCGGGCCAGACUCCCAAGGGGGGGAACAGGGGGGAAAAUUGCACAAUGGGGGCGAGCCUGGUGCAGCGACGCCGCGGGGGGGAUGACGGCCUUCGGGUUGUAAACUCCUUUCGCUAGGGACGAAGCGUUAUGUGACGGUACCUGGAGAAGAAGCACCGGCUAACUACGUG